GACGAACGCUGGCGGCGUGCUUAACACAUGCAAGUCGAACGGAAAGGCCCUGCGUUUGUGGGGUGCUCGAGUGGCGAACGGGUGAGUAACACGUGAGUAACCUGCCCUUGACUUUGGGAUAACUUCAGGAAACUGGGGCUAAUACCGGAUAGGAUCUCCUGCUGCAUGGUGGGGGUUGGAAAGUUUCGGCGGUUGGGGAUGGACUCGCGGCUUAUCAGCUUGUUGGUGGGGUGGUGGCUUACCAAGGCUUUGACGGGUAGCCGGCCUGAGAGGGUGACCGGCCACAUUGGGACUGAGAUACGGCCCAGACUCCUACGGGAGGCAGCAGUGGGGAAUAUUGCACAAUGGGCGGAAGCCUGAUGCAGCAACGCCGCGUGCGGGAUGACGGCCUUCGGGUUGUAAACCGCUUUCGCCUGUGACGAAGCGUGAGUGACGGUAAUGGGUAAAGAAGCACCGGCUAACUACGUG
This 468-nucleotide ribosomal RNA is filed under the name uncultured bacterium. RNAcentral's name for it is "partial 16S ribosomal RNA". It matches the Rfam family "Bacterial small subunit ribosomal RNA", at positions 28 to 507 of the family's 1533-position model. The record is from RNAcentral.